RNAcentral lists this long non-coding RNA (3444 nucleotides) under Ananas comosus (pineapple). Its description in RNAcentral is "long non-coding RNA (ACOM_LNC022124)". Lineage: Eukaryota; Viridiplantae; Streptophyta; Magnoliopsida; Poales; Bromeliaceae. The record is from RNAcentral.
UAAAUAGAAAAACAGCAUGCUAUAUAGAAGGCACCCCUGAAACGGUGAAAGUGUGGCCUAACAAAAAGCCAGCAAUGAUGACGUGGACUAAAAACUUUUCUGAACUAAGAUCAUUUUGAAGUGGUUGUUUAAUUUUAUCAACAAAUCUUUUAAUUUAUUUAACUUCAAUUAGAUAAUAAUGCUUUAACUUCAAAUUUGAAUACGUCCUCUAUCUUUACAAAUUUAGUUAGUAUACUUCAUACGAUUCUCGUAACUAUAAAUUUAUUAAAUAACUAGCUUAAAUUUUAAAGUCAAAGUAUUAUAUUAAAUAAAUUGAAAGGUUAAACAGUAAAAUUAAAAUUUUGAAAAAUUAAAUAGUCGAUUCAAAAUAAUCCACAGUUCCCAUAAAUUUCUAUACAUCUUAACUUAUGUUCUUCACCAACCCACUCCAUAUAUACUUUUUUUGGGGGGAUAAUAUCUAAUAUACCCCUCAAAACUUCUGAAAUAUGUUAUAUACCUUUCUUUUUUUUUGUUUCAAAUAUACCUCUUAUAUAUUUCUCUAUUAUUCAAAAAUAACCUUGCUGUUGAUACCCGUUAAGUUAUCUCGGGUUAAACCUGAGUUAAAUUUCUAUCAGAGUUAAAAAGUGAGCAAUUGCUUGUAUACCCCCUACAAGGUUUCCGGCUUUCUUAUUACCUCUCUUAGAAGACUAAUAUUAAAAAUAUUCUUUUAUCAUUCUGAGUCCUUUCAAAUAUAACCCCUAGAGUUAGAUUAUGUUAGUGAAUUAUUAGAAAUAACCGUUAUCUCUCUAAAAUUACUAUUUUACUCUUUCAAAUAUCAUUUACUUUUUUUUAUUUACCACUAAGUUAGAGGCACAAAGAGGUAUUUUGACUUCUUCCCUUCAAAUAUAUUCUUCUAUCAUCACCAACUUUUCUUAUUUGCACUUAAGUCAGGGGCAAAAGAAGUAUUUUGAUUAUUUUUAUUUUAACUCUGGUAGAAAUUUAACCCGGGUAUAAUUUGAGAUGACUUAACGAAUAUUAACAGUAGUGAUAUUUUUAAAUAACGGAGAACUAUAUGAGGGAUAUAUUUAAACCAAAAAAUAGAAGUAUAUUAGAUGUUUCAAAAGUUAUGAGGGGUAUAUAGGUAAUUAUUCCUAAAAAAAAGUGAAAAUACCUCUUUUACUUCUAACUAAUAAGUAAAUGAGAAAAAUUGGUGACGGUAGAAGGGAUAUUUGAAACGGCAAAAAGUCAAAAUACUUUUGUGACACCCGAAUAGUCUCAUAUUGAAUAAAAAUGGAAUUGUCAUUGGGUAUAUAAAAGGACUCCACCCUAAUAAUAAUAACUGGGCUUAAACAUUUUGGAUCAAUAAUUUUCACCCAACGAGUUAUUGUUGUUAGUGGGUCAGGUCGUUAUAUUUGGUAUCAAAGCCAGUUCACAAGUCGGAAGUGUGAAAUGAGUCUUAGCUGGGCCAAGGUCGGAAUGACAAGCUAAGCCAAGGUCGGUGAAUGACAAGCUAAGUCAGGAUCGGAAUGACAAGACUAGUGAAACGAGUCUCACAUCGCCUGGUGAUCUUGGAUUGUGUGUGUGUUUAGAACUGACGAGAACGUUAGGGCCUAAACGAUGAAAAUGAAAUUAUCAUUGUUAUGUUUGCCGCGAACAAACCGGCCCCGCCACAGGUGUUUCUAGGGCGAGUGGUCAUUCAUGGUACAGAUUAAAUUGUUUAAAUUUUAUUUUAAAAUCAGGAUUAUAGGUUUAUGACUUCCAACAGACUCAAGAAUCUGCUGUUAAUUACCCCACACUUUCAGUAUUAAGGAACCCUCGAUUAAGAGACCGAAUAUAAAUGCUGAUAAAAGAGACCAAGCAGGCAAAUAAAAUUUUAUUAAUAUGAUUUGCCGUGUACAUGGCUUACGCAGGGGCAUUCCCCCACUGUACAUAGAUUUUAUAAAAUUAAAUACACAGUUUAUAGACUUAAUGGUCGAUUAAAGUUGAGAUGCCCAGUUUAGCGACAUGACGGUCGAUUUUGAGUUAAGUUGCUCAGUUUAAUGACAUGGCGGGCGGUUGAAGUUGAGGUGCUCAGUUUAGCGACAUGGCGGUCGAUUUUAAAUUGAGUUGCUCAGUUUAGCGACAUCGCGGUCAAUUUUAAAUUGGAUUGCUCUGUUUAGCGACAUCGCGGUCGAUUUGAGUUUUGGUGCUCAGUUUAAUGACAUGGCGGUCGGUUUGAGUUUUGGUGCUCAGUUUANCGAUUUGAGUUUUGGUGCUCAGUUUAAUGACAUGGCGGUCGGUUUGAGUUUUGGUGCUCAGUUUAGCGACAUGGCGGUCAAUUUGAGUUUGGUGCUCAGUUUAAUGACAUGGCGGUCGGAUGUUCAAUUUAAUGACUUAACAGUCAUUUGUUCAGUUUAACGACUUGACGGUCAUAUUUGAACAUGAUUUGCUCAGUUUAGUCGCUUGGUGGUCGAUUGAAGUUGAAAUGCUCACUUUAGCGACAUGGCGGUCGAUUUUGAAUUGAGUUGCUCAGUUUAGCGACGUGGCGGUCGAAAGGGUUUGAUUUGAUUGCUCAGUUUAACAACUUGGCGGUCAAAGGGGUUUGAUUUGAUUGCUCAGUUUAACGACUUGGCGGUCAAAGGUUCAGUUUAAAUGACUUAAUAGUCAUUUGUUCAGUUUAACGACUUGACGGUCAUAUUUGAACUUGAUUCGCUCAGUUUAGCGACUUGGCGAUCGACUAAAAUUGAGAUGCUCAGUUUAACGACAUGGCGGUCGAUUUUAAAUUGAGUUGCUUAGUUUAGCGACAUGGCGGUCGACUGAAAUUGAGAUACUCAUGAAACUGAUUCACGAAAUUAACUCAUGCUAGAAGCCCAUUUGUAAAGUCCAUUAAAUUAAUUGAUGAAAUUAAUUCAUGAUAGGGGCCAUUUGGAGAGCCCAUUGAAUUGGGUUUAUAAAAUUAAUUUGUGAUAAGGAGCCAUUUGGAAAGCCCAUUAGUUCAUAAAAUUAAUUUAUAACAAGGAGGGCCCAUGAAAUUAAUUCAUAAGAUUAAUUCGUGAUAGGAGGGCCUAUUUGGAAAGCCCAUAAAAUUAAUUUAUGAUUAGAAGCCAUUUGGAAGGCCCAUGAAAUUGAUUUAUGACAAGGAAGGCCCAUAAAAUUAAUUCAUAGAAUUAAUUCGUGAUAGGAGACCCAUUUGGAAAGUCCAAGAAAUUAAUUCAUAAAAUUAAUUCAUAAUAAGGGAUCCAUUUGGAAAGCCCAUGAAUUCGGUUUGGAUUGGAGGUAUUUGAAUGACAUGAGUUUGGUAAAUUUGGUUAGGUUUUAUUUGUGGACUUUGGAUUUUGAAUCAUAUUUGUGGAUUUUGGGUUUUGAGAUUUUGUUUGUUGAUUUUGGGUUUUGGAUCUUUAUUUGUGGACUUUGAAUUUUUGGGAUUUUGUUUGUGGAUUUUGAGCUUUGGGUUGAGAAGUUUAUUUACAUGGAUUUUCAUUUGUU